GGGGGAUAACUACUGGAAACGGUAGCUAAUACCGCAUAACGUCGCAAGACCAAAGAGGGGGACCUUCGGGCCUCUUGCCAUCGGAUGUGCCCAGAUGGGAUUAGCUUGUUGGUGGGGUAACGGCUCACCAAGGCGACGAUCCCUAGCUGGUCUGAGAGGAUGACCAGCCACACUGGAACUGAGACACGGUCCAGACUCCUACGGGAGGCAGCAGUGGGGAAUAUUGCACAAUGGGCGCAAGCCUGAUGCAGCCAUGCCGCGUGUAUGAAGAAGGCCUUCGGGUUGUAAAGUACUUUCAGCGGGGAGGAA
Molecule: ribosomal RNA, 309 nt
Filed under: Escherichia coli
Lineage: Bacteria; Pseudomonadati; Pseudomonadota; Gammaproteobacteria; Enterobacterales; Enterobacteriaceae
Description: bacterial SSU rRNA
Rfam family: Bacterial small subunit ribosomal RNA
Source: RNAcentral